Long non-coding RNA from Sapajus apella (tufted capuchin), 1765 nucleotides. RefSeq lists it as uncharacterized. Lineage: Eukaryota; Metazoa; Chordata; Mammalia; Primates; Cebidae. The transcript has 3 exons. The record is from RefSeq and is a predicted model, not a curated record.
ACCUCAAGUGAUCUGGCCCUGUCAGCCUCCCAGGCUGCUGGGAUUACAUGUUUGAACCACUGUGCCCAGCCUAGAAUUUUCUUGACAAGCAAUUUCUAUGAGACAGGGAAAACACAAAGUCCCUGGGCAGGGUUGGCAGAUUUAGCAAAUAAAAAUACAGAAUACCCAGUUAAUUUGAAUUUUAGAUAGGCAAGACAUUAUAUUUUAGUGUAACUAUGUCCCAAAUAUGAUAUGAGACAUAUUUAUACUAAAAACUUAUUUGCUAUUUAUCAGAGCUUCAUGUUUAAUUGGACAUCCUGCAUUUUAUCUGUUCACUUUAUCUCUGGUUGAUUAGAGAAGGUGAAGGUAUUUCUUGAAGAAGAGAAAAGAAGCCCAGAGUUGGGGAUCUAUAAGAUGUAUUGCACCUGUGAUCAACUUAUUUAAUCUCUCUGUUCCUGAGUUUUUCCAGGUGCAAAUAGGGGUACAAAUAGUACUUACUUUAUAGAGAAGUUAUGAGGAUUGUUAGUUAAUAUACAUAAAGUACUUGGAAAAAUGCCUGACUAUGUAACAAUGUUGUCCAUGUUAGCUAUUAUUAUUAUUAUUAUUAUUAUUAGGACUGUAAGUAUUAUUCCGAGAAAACAGGAUGCAUCUUGGUCUUGUCUUUUCUCUUUUGGACUAUUGAAAUUAACUUUACUUUUAUGACUUGGAAGGGUAGCAAAUAAGGAAUCCCCUCCCCCAACUUUUCCAAGGGAGAUAAGAAUGUGGCUGUCAUUUGGUACUGCUAUUGGGUAACAGACAACCUCCAAACCAAGGCACCCAUUUUGCUUUGAAAAAGAUUAAUUGCCAAGAAGAACCAUCUGCAUUUCAGAGUAGCUCCAUGUUUGAAUUUUGCCAGUUGCCAACCUAACGGUACUUGCAUUAAUCCUGUCAGAUAUCUAAGAUGAGUUACAGUCACUACAGAGAAAGAGUCUACAAGACAAUUUGUCCACGCUGAUUCUGCAGUGAAGAAUGAUUAGAGUUCUGGGUAGAGCAAUUUUCCUGUGGAUAAUCUGAAUUUAUAUCUAUAGCUGAAUGUAACAAAGAGUUUCUUCAGUAUAGGGUUUUAAAAAUCCUUUUCACAGAGAUGUCUGAAGUAUUCUAUGCUUCUUUUCAAAAAUCUUUAAUAACUUUUUCUUACUUACAGAAGAAGAGAAUUGUAUGAGAUCAGUCAGCAUCUGAAGGGGAAACAAGGGCAAGAUUAACCCAGAAGGAAUCUAAGAAGGAAGACAGGAGAAGGACAGAGCUUUAUCUUGAAACCAAUGGAGAAGAGCAUUUCAAAAUAGAAUGAUGAAGAAAGGGGUUCUGCCUGUUCCAAAGGAGUGACUCCCAAAGGAGCAGGAACUGACCAUAGGUUAUGGCUUGUGUUACGACACACUGAUGAUGUCUUUGAGGCCAUCCACUGACGUCCUCAACCAUGGCAUAAGCAAGUUUUUCUGAAGGAGAAGACCUGAACUUGACCUACAGUCUGGAACAAAGACACCCAGAUGACCCACAGAAACUGAGAGAGAAAUGAAGCCUUAUUGUUUUAACACUUUGAUAUUCUGGAAUUGAUUGCAGCAUCAUUACAGUAAAAGCUGACAAAUACAAUUCUAAUUUUUUAUUCUAUUAAGUUGUUUUUAUUAAAAGAGUAUAUUACCAUUAUAGAAAAAUUAGAAAAUACAGGAAAUCAAAAUGAAGAAAAGAAAUUAAGUAGGAAGACAGGCUCAAACAACUAUGAUGCUAUUACAUGUUUACUUACAAUUGUGAU